RNAcentral lists this unclassified non-coding RNA (338 nucleotides) under soil metagenome. RNAcentral's name for it is "partial contains 5.8S ribosomal RNA, internal transcribed spacer 2, and large subunit ribosomal RNA". The stretch from base 1 to 120 matches the Rfam family "5.8S ribosomal RNA", at positions 35 to 154 of the family's 154-position model. The record is from RNAcentral.
GAUGAAGAACGCAGCGAAAUGCGAUAAGUAGUGUGAAUUGCAGAAUUCAGUGAAUCAUCGAAUCUUUGAACGCACAUUGCGCCCCUUGGUAUCCCGAGGGGCAUGCCUGUUCGAGCGUCAUUUCAACCAUCAAGCCCCAGCGCUUGUGUUGGGGGCCUGCGGCUGCCGCAGCCCCCUAAAAGCAGUGGCGGGCUCGCUAUCACACCGAGUGCAGUAGUUCAUCUUCUCUCCGGUCUUGUGAGGCGGGUUCCGGCCGUGAAACACCCCACUACAUUCAAGGUUGACCUCGGAUCAGGUAGGAAUACCCGCUGAACUUAAGCAUAUCAAUAAGCGGAGGA